RNAcentral lists this transfer RNA (68 nucleotides) under Scolytinae sp. BMNH 1040052. RNAcentral describes it as "tRNA-Ser". The record is from RNAcentral. Lineage: Eukaryota; Metazoa; Arthropoda; Insecta; Coleoptera; Curculionidae.
GGUAUAAUACAUCUAGAAAAAGAGCUUCUAACUCUGGUUUCAAGCGGUGAAAUUCCGUUUUUAUGCCA